UACGUAGGGUGCAAGCGUUGUCCGGAAUUAUUGGGCGUAAAGAGCUCGUAGGCGGCCUGUCGCGUCGGCUGUGAAAACUCAGGGCUCAACCCUGAGCCUGCAGUCGAUACGGGCAGGCUAGAGUCCGGCAGGGGAGACUGGAAUUCCUGGUGGUAGCGGUGAAAUGCGCAGAUAUCAAGGAGGAACACCGGUGGCGAAGGCGGGUCUCUGGGCCGGAACUGACGCUGAGGAGCGAAAGCAUGGGGAGCGAACAGG
This 255-nucleotide ribosomal RNA is filed under the name uncultured bacterium. RNAcentral's name for it is "partial 16S ribosomal RNA". It matches the Rfam family "Bacterial small subunit ribosomal RNA", at positions 524 to 776 of the family's 1533-position model. The record is from RNAcentral.